Small nucleolar RNA from Mastomys coucha (southern multimammate mouse), 134 nucleotides. RefSeq annotates it as small nucleolar RNA SNORA17. The record is from RefSeq and is a predicted model, not a curated record. Lineage: Eukaryota; Metazoa; Chordata; Mammalia; Rodentia; Muridae. The transcript has a single exon.
CCUGCCCCUAGAAGUGUUGCAGGUGUGAUGUGAUUCUGUGUUACAUGUGUAUCGGUAGAUGGCUGAGAGGAGGGAGGCUGUGUCUCUGCUCAGUUCCGACCUGAAUCAUUCUGAAUGAUUAAUAGCCUGGGAAU